GACGAACGCUGGCGGCGUGCUUAACACAUGCAAGUCGAGCGGUAAGGCCCUUUCGGGGGUACGACGAGCGGCGAACGGGUGAGUAACACGUGGGUGACCUGCCCUUAGCUCUGGGAUAAGCCUGGGAAACUGGGUCUAAUACCGGAUAUGACUCCAUGACGCAUGUUGUGGGGUGGAAAGCCUUGUGCGGCUAGGGAUGGGCCCGCGGCCUAUCAGCUUGUUGGUGGGGUGAUGGCCACCAAGGCGACGACGGGUAGCCGGCCUGAGAGGGCGACCGGCCACACUGGGACUGAGACACGGCCCAGACUCCUACGGGAGGCAGCAGUGGGGAAUCUUGCGCAAUGGGCGAAAGCCUGACGCAGCGACGCCGCGUGAGGGAUGACGGCCUGUUGUAA
Molecule: ribosomal RNA, 395 nt
Filed under: uncultured bacterium
Lineage: Bacteria
Description: bacterial SSU rRNA
Rfam family: Bacterial small subunit ribosomal RNA
Source: RNAcentral